GGGUCGUUAGCUCAGCUGGUAGAGCAGUUGACUUUUAAUCAAUUGGUCGCAGGUUCGAAGCCUGCACGACCCACCA
RNAcentral lists this transfer RNA (76 nucleotides) under Vibrio parahaemolyticus. Its description in RNAcentral is "tRNA-Lys". It matches the Rfam family "tRNA". Rfam says of the family: Transfer RNA (tRNA) molecules are approximately 80 nucleotides in length. Their secondary structure includes four short double-helical elements and three loops (D, anti-codon, and T loops). The record is from RNAcentral. Lineage: Bacteria; Pseudomonadati; Pseudomonadota; Gammaproteobacteria; Vibrionales; Vibrionaceae.